GACGAACGCUGGCGGCGUGCCUAAUACAUGCAAGUUGAGCGCUGAAGGUUGGUACUUGUACCGACUGGAUGAGCAGCGAACGGGUGAGUAACGCGUGGGGAAUCUGCCUUUGAGCGGGGGACAACAUUUGGAAACGAAUGCUAAUACCGCAUAAAAACUUUAAACACAAGUUUUAAGUUUGAAAGAUGCAAUUGCAUCACUCAAAGAUGAUCCCGCGUUGUAUUAGCUAGUUGGUGAGGUAAAGGCUCACCAAGGCGAUGAUACAUAGCCGACCUGAGAGGGUGAUCGGCCACAUUGGGACUGAGACACGGCCCAAACUCCUACGGGAGGCAGCAGUAGGGAAUCUUCGGCAAUGGACGAAAGUCUGACCGAGCAACGCCGCGGGAGUGAAGAAGGUUUUCGGAUCGUAAAACUCGGUUGGUAGAGAAGAACGUUGGUGAGAGUGGAAAGCUCAUCAAGUGACGGUAACUACCCAGAAAGGGACGGCUAACUACGUG
RNAcentral lists this ribosomal RNA (497 nucleotides) under uncultured bacterium. RNAcentral's name for it is "partial 16S ribosomal RNA". It matches the Rfam family "Bacterial small subunit ribosomal RNA", at positions 28 to 507 of the family's 1533-position model. The record is from RNAcentral.